UCUCUCUCUCCCUUCCUACGGAUCUCUCCUUCUUCUCUCUUCCUGUCAAUCUCUCUCCCUCCUCUCUCUCUUCCUUGCUCUCCCUCUCCCUCUCCCUCUCCCUCUCCCUAUCUUUCUCUCGCUCAAAAUCAUAGCCCCUCCUCUCUCUCUCUCUCUCUCUCUCUCUCUCUCUCUCUCUCUCUCUCUCUCCUCGGCCCUCUGCUGCAGUUUGGCCUUCUGCUGCUCAUAAAUCCCGGAUUCUCAGGGGAUACUAUAGUAUUGGCGGCAGUGUAUCGGCCUAAAGCUGGAACAAGAAAAAAUGAAAACCCUGAGAAGGCUUCAAUUGAGGUUAUUUGGAAGCCAAAAAUGGGGCAGAUUGGU
Molecule: long non-coding RNA, 360 nt
Organism: Magnolia sinica
Lineage: Eukaryota; Viridiplantae; Streptophyta; Magnoliopsida; Magnoliales; Magnoliaceae
Exons: 2
Source: RefSeq, a predicted model, not a curated record